RNAcentral lists this ribosomal RNA (502 nucleotides) under uncultured Arthrobacter sp. RNAcentral describes it as "bacterial SSU rRNA". It matches the Rfam family "Bacterial small subunit ribosomal RNA", at positions 870 to 1383 of the family's 1533-position model. Lineage: Bacteria; Bacillati; Actinomycetota; Actinomycetes; Micrococcales; Micrococcaceae. The record is from RNAcentral.
CGCCUGGGGAGUGCGGCCGCAAGGCUAAAACUCAAAGGAAUUGACGGGGCCCCGCACAAGCGGCGGAGCAUGCGGAUUAAUUCGAUGCAACGCGUAGAACCUUACCUGGGUUUGACAUGAUCGGGAGUGCUCAGAGAUGGGUGUGCCUCUUUUGGGGUCGGUUCACAGGUGGUGCAUGGCUGUCGUCAGCUCGUGUAGUGAGAUGUUGGGUUAAGUCCCGCAACGAGCGCAACCCUUGUUUUUAGUUGCCUUAGGAACUCUAAAAAGACUGCUGGUUAUAAACCGGAGGAAGGUGGGGAUGACGUCAAGUCAGCAUGCCCCUUACACCCUGGGCUACACACGUGCUACAUUGGGCGAGACAAUGAGAUGCAAAUCUGCGAAGAAUAGCUAAUCUAUAAACUCGUUCUAAGUUCGGAUUGUAGGCUGCAACUCGCCUACAUGAAGUGGAAUCGCUAGUAAUCGCUGGUCAGUACACAGCGGUGAAUUCGUUCCCGGGGCCUUG